AUGAAGCUGGAGGGCAGGAAGAGGGCGGCCCCGAGCUCCGCGCUUCUGCUGCCGGCAGAAGAGCUCCUGGAGCUUGCCGCCGAGGGCGCCCCACCGCUUCCACGCAAGGAUGCUCUCCAGCUGGCGGUGGCCUGCGGGAUUGUUACCGCUUGGGACGACAGUUUCCUCUCUUGCACCAAAGUGUUUGCUGGCACUUUUGCCUUAACAUGUUGGCUUGAAUCGCGUGCUGACGACCUAUCUUUUGUGGUCACAAACGUUUACGGUCCCUGCAAUUAUGCUUCUAAACCCAUCUUCUUAUAAUCUCUGAUUGAUCUAAUGCCGCAAAUCUCCUGCCCGUGGACUGUCAUUGGUGACUUUAACAUCACCCUUAGACCUUCAGAUAAAUCAACGUCUCAUUUCAACAUGCAUGAAGCAAACAUUUUCUCCUCUGCCAUCAAUACGCUUCAGCUCCAGGAUCUCCCUCUUCUAGAUAGGCGCUACACCUGGUCAAACCAGCAGGAUGUGCCUAUUCUCGUGCGGCUAGAUCGGGCACUGGCAAACGUGGCCUGGGCGUCAAAAUUUCCAGAUACCUCACUCUCCUCGGUUACCAGGACAACCUCUGAUCACGUUCCUAUUCGUUUGACGGCAGCAACUACUAUCCCCAAAGCUUCGGUUUUCCGCCUUGAUCGCUCCCUUCUCAAUAUCCCCCUUUUUAGGGAAAGGGUUGCUACAAAUUGGGGAAGUGUGGGCUCCCGCCAUGCCCACCUCGGCUCUGCCGGUGUUCUUUCCUUGAAGCUAAAGCGCACCAGAAAUAUGGCCAAAAAGUGGAUGUCCAAUCGACGGUCACCUAGGACCAUGGCUAUAAACUGCCAUACCACUAUCAAUUUCCUCGAUAAGCUUGAGGAGGCCAGGCCGUUGUCCCAACUCGAAUCGGACCUUAGGAUUGCA
RNAcentral lists this ribosomal RNA (927 nucleotides) under Triticum aestivum (bread wheat). Its description in RNAcentral is "partial small subunit ribosomal RNA". Lineage: Eukaryota; Viridiplantae; Streptophyta; Magnoliopsida; Poales; Poaceae. The record is from RNAcentral.